AGUGAACGCUGGCGGUAGGCCUAACACAUGCAAGUCGAACGGCAGCACAGUAAGAGCUUGCUCUUACGGGUGGCGAGUGACGGACGGGUGAGGAAUACAUCGGAAUCUACUUUUUCGUGGGGGAUAACGGAGGGAAACUUACGCUAAUACCGCAUACGAUCUACGGGUGAAAGCAGGGAUCUUCGGACCUUGUGCGAUUGAAUGAGCCGAGGUCGGAUUAGCUAGUUGGCGGGGUAAAGGCCCACCAAGGCGACGAUCCGUAGCUGGUCUGAGAGGAUGAUCAGCCACACUGGAACUGAGACACGGUCCAGACUCCUACGGGAGGCAGCAGUGGGGAAUAUUGGACAAUGGGCGCAAGCCUGAUCCAGCCAUACCGCGUGAGUGAAGAAGGCCUUCGGGUUGUAAAGCCCUUUUGUUGGGAAAGAAAAGCAGCAGGUUAAAACCCCGCUGUUCUGACGGUACCCAAAGAAUAAGCACCGGCUAACUUCGUG
Molecule: ribosomal RNA, 491 nt
Filed under: uncultured bacterium
Lineage: Bacteria
Description: partial 16S ribosomal RNA
Rfam family: Bacterial small subunit ribosomal RNA
Source: RNAcentral